ACGCUGCGGCAUCGAACACCAAGGGUGGGUGCGGGUGUGGGUGGCCCAAGGUCCGGCGGGUGGGCCGCGGCAGGCCGGCGACGGCGGCCGGUCUCCGGCGACGGCGGGGGGUCGCCGGCGACGGCGGAAAGUGCGAUUUUGAUGCUGAUGUCGGGAACAAGGUGCGAUUCUCUCGCACCACGUUGCACGGACGGAUGCCCCAAGGCUCGGUUGGUAUGCGGCGACCCCCCCAUGGUGCCUUGCCUACAGUGACGGUGAAGACCGAGUUUUUGUGUUGCGUACCCACAUCGUGGAAUAAUCAGG
This 303-nucleotide long non-coding RNA is filed under the name Linum usitatissimum (flax). RNAcentral describes it as "long non-coding RNA (LUSI_LNC006716)". The record is from RNAcentral. Lineage: Eukaryota; Viridiplantae; Streptophyta; Magnoliopsida; Malpighiales; Linaceae.